This is a long non-coding RNA of Photinus pyralis (common eastern firefly), 1096 nucleotides long. RefSeq lists it as uncharacterized. The record is from RefSeq and is a predicted model, not a curated record. Lineage: Eukaryota; Metazoa; Arthropoda; Insecta; Coleoptera; Lampyridae. The transcript is spliced from 3 exons.
UCUUUUAUGGUUAUUACUCUUUCGUCAUAUGAUUUUCUGUUAAUCAUGUGAUAAAGCACGCCAAUUUGUUUUAUUUUUAAAAUUCAUAAUUUCAAACAUAAUCAUCUGACGACUACGUAAACUAUUUGCAAUUAACAUAAUUAACUUCUUGCAGCGGAUCUGGAAUGGUAAUUGGUAUAAUGAAAUAUUUUUAUUAGUGCAUUCCUUGCUGGCACGAGCUCGCAUCUUUAAUGCUAAUAUGUAUAGCUACGCAAUGUAAAUGUUCAUUUAGUGUUAGUCUAAAGAUUGUAUAAGUGAUUAAACAAUGUUUGCGUGUAAACUACUAUGUGUUCUUUUUAUAGACGUGAUGUCUGUAAAUGUUAAUAACUAGCUUGUCUAAUGAGACUGUGUUAGUAUGCAACGCAUACACGUACAAAUGACAGUAAAAUGUAUUUGUGUUUAAUAAAAUAUGUCUUCUGUGAUUAUUGUCCUUUCUGCAGUGGGUGUUCUGGGCAAGAAAUUGAUUUGCAUCACACCAUGUCUUCUACCUUAACAAAAUGAUGGGAAAUUUACGGAGAUUUUGUGUAAUGUUGCAACCUUGGUGCGAUUCGGAAAAACCCACUGAUCGACGUGUCCAAUUUGAUUUUAUUAGUUGGCUACAAUUUAGUUUAGUUCUAGAUUUUGGAUUUCUCUGGUUCACAAUGCUAAAAGUGAGGGUUUCACGUUUGGUAUUGUCACUUCCUUAAACGACCAAACUUUAGCCCCCUACAUGAUAUACGAUAGACAGCGUCGCCCCCGACGACGAUCAUGAAAUAUCAGUAUCCCUUAUGAAGUUAUGACUCUACUUUGACUUACAUUAAAGAUGUAAAUUGAAAAUAAAGUUAUUAUAGAUAUUUGAAAUUUUUUACAAUCUCAACGUUUGUUAACAAAAUAAUCAGAAUAGUUUGUAAUUUGAUAAACGUGAUAACAUUUGCGAUUAAGAAAUUACAAAGGUUGUGAUAAUUGUAUUAAGUAUGAACGUAUUGUAAUCAUGGAACACCUUACACCCUGCAACACCAUAACAGAGGGAAAUUUUAGGCGAUUCUGCGCAUGUGUGAUUUCUUUCUAGCACAAUUUC